UACGUAGGGUGCAAGCGUUGUCCGGAAUUAUUGGGCGUAAAGAGCUCGUAGGUGGCCUGUCGCGUCGGCUGUGAAAACUCGGGGCUCAACUCCGAGCUUGCAGUCGAUACGGGCAGGCUAGAGUUCGGCAGGGGAGACUGGAAUUCCUGGUGUAGCGGUGAAAUGCGCAGAUAUCGGGAGGAACACCGGUGGCGAAGGCGGUUCUCUGGGCCUUACCUGACGCUGAGGAGCGAAAGCGUGGGGAGCGAACAGG
This 253-nucleotide ribosomal RNA is filed under the name uncultured bacterium. Its description in RNAcentral is "partial 16S ribosomal RNA". It matches the Rfam family "Bacterial small subunit ribosomal RNA", at positions 524 to 776 of the family's 1533-position model. The record is from RNAcentral.